UGCAACCUGAGCUCACGCGAGGUUACCCG
RNAcentral lists this ribosomal RNA (29 nucleotides) under Haemonchus contortus (barber pole worm). Its description in RNAcentral is "partial large subunit ribosomal RNA". Lineage: Eukaryota; Metazoa; Nematoda; Chromadorea; Rhabditida; Trichostrongylidae. The record is from RNAcentral.